AAUAGGGGAACUCAGACUAAAACCGCCGCAUCCUGAAAGGUGCCUUAAUUUCUGCAAAGAUCGCAGAAAUUAAGGCAAAUCGAACCCUAUGCUGUUCGAUUGUCAACGUCUGAGUGACCAACUUCCUGUUGG
This 132-nucleotide small RNA is filed under the name Bacillus sp. OxB-1. Its description in RNAcentral is "Bacillaceae-1 RNA". It matches the Rfam family "Bacillaceae-1 RNA". The record is from Rfam by way of RNAcentral. Lineage: Bacteria; Bacillati; Bacillota; Bacilli; Caryophanales; Bacillaceae.